CCUACGGGCGGCAGCAGUAGGGAAUCUUCCACAAUGGGCGAAGGCCUGAUGGAGCCACGCCGCGUGGGUGAAGAAUGUCUUCGGAUUGUACAACCCUGUUGGUAGAGAAGAAAGUGCGUGAGAGUAACUGUUCACGUUUCGACGGUAUCUAACCAGAAAGCCACGGCUCACUACGUGCCAGCAGCGGCGGGAAUACGCAGGUGGCAAGCGCUAUCCGGAUUUAUUGGGGGUAAAGGGAACGCAGGCGGUCUUUUAAGGCUGAUGUGAAAACCGUGGGCUUAACCGGCGUAGUGCAUUGGAAACUGGGAGACUUGAGUGCAGAAGAGGUGAGUGGAACGCCAUGUGUAGCGGUGAAAUGCGUAGAUAUAUGGAAGAACACCAGUGGCGAAAGCGGCUCUCUGGUCUGUAACUGACGCUGAGGUUCGAAAGCGUGGGUAGCAAACAGGAUUAGAUACCCUUGUAGUC
This 465-nucleotide ribosomal RNA is filed under the name uncultured bacterium. RNAcentral describes it as "partial 16S ribosomal RNA". It matches the Rfam family "Bacterial small subunit ribosomal RNA", at positions 338 to 795 of the family's 1533-position model. The record is from RNAcentral.